RNAcentral lists this ribosomal RNA (819 nucleotides) under uncultured bacterium. RNAcentral's name for it is "bacterial SSU rRNA". It matches the Rfam family "Bacterial small subunit ribosomal RNA", at positions 62 to 874 of the family's 1533-position model. The record is from RNAcentral.
UCGACGGUAACAGGGAGCUUGCUCCGCUGACGAGUGGCGAACGGGUGAGUAAUGCAUCGGAACGUGCCUAUUUGUGGGGGAUAACGUAGCGAAAGUUACGCUAAUACCGCAUACGCCCUGAGGGGGAAAGCGGGGGAUUCGUAAGAACCUCGCGCAAUUAGAGCGGCCGAUGUCGGAUUAGCUAGUUGGUGGGGUAAAGGCUCACCAAGGCGACGAUCCGUAGCGGGUCUGAGAGGAUGAUCCGCCACACUGGGACUGAGACACGGCCCAGACUCCUACGGGAGGCAGCAGUGGGGAAUUUUGGACAAUGGGCGAAAGCCUGAUCCAGCCAUGCCGCGUGCAGGAUGAAGGCCUUCGGGUUGUAAACUGCUUUUGUACGGAACGAAAAGGUCUUUUCUAAUAAAGAAGGCUCAUGACGGUACCGUAAGAAUAAGCACCGGCUAACUACGUGCCAGCAGCCGCGGUAAUACGUAGGGUGCGAGCGUUAAUCGGAAUUACUGGGCGUAAAGCGUGCGCAGGCGGUGACUCAAGUCAGAUGUGAAAUCCCCGGGCUUAACCUGGGAACUGCAUUUGAAACUAGGUCGCUAGAGUGUAGCAGAGGGGGGUAGAAUUCCACGUGUAGCAGUGAAAUGCGUAGAGAUGUGGAGGAACACCGAUGGCGAAGGCAGCCCCCUGGGCCAAUACUGACGCUCAUGCACGAAAGCGUGGGUAGCAAACAGGAUUAGAUACCCUGGUAGUCCACGCCCUAAACGAUGUCAACUAGGUGUUGGGUGGGUAAAACCAUUUAGUACCGGAGCUAACGCGUGAAGUUGACCGCCU